Molecule: ribosomal RNA, 627 nt
Filed under: uncultured Russulaceae
Lineage: Eukaryota; Fungi; Basidiomycota; Agaricomycetes; Russulales; Russulaceae
Description: LSU rRNA
Rfam family: Eukaryotic large subunit ribosomal RNA
Source: RNAcentral
UAAGCGGAGGAAAAGAACUAACAAGGAUUCCCCUAGUAACUGCGAGUGANGCGGGAAAAGCUCAAAUUNNAAAUCUGGUGGUCUUUGGCCAUCCGAGUUGUAAUCUAGAGAAGCGUCUUNCGCGCUGGACCGUGCACAAGUCUCCUGGAACGGAGCGUCGUAGAGGGUGAGAAUCCCGUCUUUGGCAUGGACACACCAGGGCUUUUGUGAUGCGCUCUCGAAGAGUCGAGUUGUUUGGGAAUGCAGCUCAAAAUGGGUGGUGAACUCCAUCUAAAGCUAAAUAUUGGCGAGAGACCGAUAGCGAACAAGUACCGUGAGGGAAAGAUGAAAAGCACUUUGGAAAGAGAGUGAAACAGUACGUGAAAUUGUUGAAAGGGAAACGCUUGAAGUCAGUCGCGUCGACCGAGACUCAGCCUCGCCUCGGCUUGGUGUACUUCUCGGCCCGACGGGUCAGCAUCAAUUUCGCCUCUUGGAUAAUGGCGAGGGAAACGUGACACCUUUACGGUGUGUUAUAGUCUCUCGCCGCAUGCAAGGGUCGGGAUUGAGGAACUCAGCACGCGCCUUUGGGCGUCGGGGCUUUGCCUACGAUACGUGCUUAGGAUGUUGGCGUAAUGGCUUUAAACGACC